This 703-nucleotide long non-coding RNA is filed under the name Phasianus colchicus (ring-necked pheasant). RNAcentral describes it as "lncRNA (ENSPCLG00000016840.1)". Lineage: Eukaryota; Metazoa; Chordata; Aves; Galliformes; Phasianidae. The record is from RNAcentral.
UUUGGGUUUUUGGGACAGAAAAGUGGGAUUUGGGGCACUGAUGGGGUUUUGGGGUGGAAACGUUGGGUUUUUGGGGUGGAAUGUUGGGUUUUGGGGUGGAAAAGUGGGAUUUGGGGCACUGAUGGGGUUUUUGGGGUGGAAAUGUUGGGUUUUGGGUGGAAAUGUUGGGUUUUUGGGGUGGAAAAGUGGGAUUUGGGGAACUGAUGGGGUUUUUGGGGUGGAAACGUCGGGUUUUUGGGGUGGAAAUGUUGGGUUUUUGGGUGGAAACUUUGGGUUUUUGGGGUGGAAAAGUGGGAUUUGGGGCACCGAUGGGGGUUUUGGGGUGGAAACGUUGGGUUUUUGGAUGGAAAUGUUGGGUUUUUGGGGUGGAAAAAUGGUUUUUUGGGGCAUUUUUGGGGUUUUUGGGGCUCACCCCAGCUCCCUGAAGGGCACCUCGAACUCGAGCUCCUCCUUGGUCAAAGCCUCCACCUUCUCUAUGAAGUUCUUGAAGGCUGUCUUCAGUUUGUGCCGCAUCUCCCGCUCCAUCUGCACCCAUAGGGGACCCCAAAAAUCCCAAAGGAUGAACCCCAAAAAUCCCACAAAAGGUGCCCAAAAAAAUCCCCCAAAAAGAGCCUCAAAAAUCCCCCAAAAGAGACCCAAAAAUCCCAAUGGAGGAACCCCAAAAAUCCCCCAAAAAGAAACACAAAAAAACCCAACCUUCCCC